CCUACGGGUUGCACCAGUGGGGAAUAUUGCACAAUGGGCGCAAGCCUGAUGCAGCCAUGCCGCGUGUAUGAAGAAGGCCUUCGGGUUGUAAAGUACUUUCAGCGGGGAGGAAGGGGAUGUGGUUAAUAACCGCAUUCAUUGACGUUACCCGCAGAAGAAGCACCGGCUAACUCCGUGCCAGCAGCCGCGGUAAUACGGAGGGUGCAAGCGUUAAUCGGAAUUACUGGGCGUAAAGCGCACGCAGGCGGUCUGUCAAGUCGGAUGUGAAAUCCCCGGGCUCAACCUGGGAACUGCAUUCGAAACUGGCAGGCUUGAGUCUCGUAGAGGGGGGUAGAAUUCCAGGUGUAGCGGUGAAAUGCGUAGAGAUCUGGAGGAAUACCGGUGGCGAAGGCGGCCCCCUGGACGAAGACUGACGCUCAGGUGCGAAAGCGUGGGGAGCAAACAGGAUUAGAUACCCGCGUAGUC
This 465-nucleotide ribosomal RNA is filed under the name uncultured bacterium. RNAcentral describes it as "bacterial SSU rRNA". It matches the Rfam family "Bacterial small subunit ribosomal RNA", at positions 338 to 795 of the family's 1533-position model. The record is from RNAcentral.